This 1539-nucleotide ribosomal RNA is filed under the name Staphylococcus aureus subsp. aureus CIG149. Its description in RNAcentral is "16S ribosomal RNA". It matches the Rfam family "Bacterial small subunit ribosomal RNA". The record is from RNAcentral. Lineage: Bacteria; Bacillati; Bacillota; Bacilli; Caryophanales; Staphylococcaceae.
GAGUUUGAUCCUGGCUCAGGAUGAACGCUGGCGGCGUGCCUAAUACAUGCAAGUCGAGCGAACGGACGAGAAGCUUGCUUCUCUGAUGUUAGCGGCGGACGGGUGAGUAACACGUGGAUAACCUACCUAUAAGACUGGGAUAACUUCGGGAAACCGGAGCUAAUACCGGAUAAUAUUUUGAACCGCAUGGUUCAAAAGUGAAAGACGGUCUUGCUGUCACUUAUAGAUGGAUCCGCGCUGCAUUAGCUAGUUGGUAAGGUAACGGCUUACCAAGGCAACGAUGCAUAGCCGACCUGAGAGGGUGAUCGGCCACACUGGAACUGAGACACGGUCCAGACUCCUACGGGAGGCAGCAGUAGGGAAUCUUCCGCAAUGGGCGAAAGCCUGACGGAGCAACGCCGCGUGAGUGAUGAAGGUCUUCGGAUCGUAAAACUCUGUUAUUAGGGAAGAACAUAUGUGUAAGUAACUGUGCACAUCUUGACGGUACCUAAUCAGAAAGCCACGGCUAACUACGUGCCAGCAGCCGCGGUAAUACGUAGGUGGCAAGCGUUAUCCGGAAUUAUUGGGCGUAAAGCGCGCGUAGGCGGUUUUUUAAGUCUGAUGUGAAAGCCCACGGCUCAACCGUGGAGGGUCAUUGGAAACUGGAAAACUUGAGUGCAGAAGAGGAAAGUGGAAUUCCAUGUGUAGCGGUGAAAUGCGCAGAGAUAUGGAGGAACACCAGUGGCGAAGGCGACUUUCUGGUCUGUAACUGACGCUGAUGUGCGAAAGACGUGGGGAUCAAACAGGAUUAGAUACCCUGGUAGUCCACGCCGUAAACGAUGAGUGCUAAGUGUUAGGGGGUUUCCGCCCCUUAGUGCUGCAGCUAACGCAUUAAGCACUCCGCCUGGGGAGUACGACCGCAAGGUUGAAACUCAAAGGAAUUGACGGGGACCCGCACAAGCGGUGGAGCAUGUGGUUUAAUUCGAAGCAACGCGAAGAACCUUACCAAAUCUUGACAUCCUUUGACAACUCUAGAGAUAGAGCCUUCCCCUUCGGGGGACAAAGUGACAGGUGGUGCAUGGUUGUCGUCAGCUCGUGUCGUGAGAUGUUGGGUUAAGUCCCGCAACGAGCGCAACCCUUAAGCUUAGUUGCCAUCAUUAAGUUGGGCACUCUAAGUUGACUGCCGGUGACAAACCGGAGGAAGGUGGGGAUGACGUCAAAUCAUCAUGCCCCUUAUGAUUUGGGCUACACACGUGCUACAAUGGACAAUACAAAGGGCAGCGAAACCGCGAGGUCAAGCAAAUCCCAUAAAGUUGUUCUCAGUUCGGAUUGUAGUCUGCAACUCGACUACAUGAAGCUGGAAUCGCUAGUAAUCGUAGAUCAGCAUGCUACGGUGAAUACGUUCCCGGGUCUUGUACACACCGCCCGUCACACCACGAGAGUUUGUAACACCCGAAGCCGGUGGAGUAACCUUUUAGGAGCUAGCCGUCGAAGGUGGGACAAAUGAUUGGGGUGAAGUCGUAACAAGGUAGCCGUAUCGGAAGGUGCGGCUGGAUCACC